Molecule: transfer RNA, 62 nt
Filed under: Oligodon chinensis (Chinese kukri snake)
Lineage: Eukaryota; Metazoa; Chordata; Lepidosauria; Squamata; Colubridae
Description: tRNA-Cys
Source: RNAcentral
AGCCCCAAGGUGUGUUUAACAUGUCGGACUGCAAAUCCGAAGUCGGCAGCUGCCCGGGGUUU